RNAcentral lists this transfer RNA (61 nucleotides) under Homidia socia. Its description in RNAcentral is "tRNA-Gly". The record is from RNAcentral. Lineage: Eukaryota; Metazoa; Arthropoda; Collembola; Entomobryomorpha; Entomobryidae.
ACAUUUUUAUUAUAAAAGUAUAUUUGACUUCCAAUCAAAAAGUCCGUCUACGGAAAAUGUA